RNAcentral lists this transfer RNA (72 nucleotides) under Candidatus Woesearchaeota archaeon. RNAcentral describes it as "tRNA-His". It matches the Rfam family "tRNA". Rfam says of the family: Transfer RNA (tRNA) molecules are approximately 80 nucleotides in length. Their secondary structure includes four short double-helical elements and three loops (D, anti-codon, and T loops). The record is from RNAcentral. Lineage: Archaea; Nanobdellati; Candidatus Woesearchaeota.
GCGGUAGUAGUAUAACGGUUAGUAUUCAGCCCUGUGGAGGCUGAGGACCGAGUUCGAUUCUCGGCUACCGCC